This 1389-nucleotide ribosomal RNA is filed under the name uncultured bacterium. RNAcentral's name for it is "partial 16S ribosomal RNA". It matches the Rfam family "Bacterial small subunit ribosomal RNA". The record is from RNAcentral.
AGAGUUUGAUUCUGGCUCAGGACGAACGCUGGCGGCGUGCUUAACACAUGCAAGUCGAACGAGAAUCAAUGGAUCGAGGAUUCGUCCAAGUGAAGUUGAGGACAGUGGCGGACGGGUGAGUAACGCGUGAGGAACCUGUCCUACACAGGGGGAUAACACUUGGAAACAGGUGCUAAUACCGCAUAAGACCACGACAUCGCAUGGUGACGGGGUAAAAGAAUUAUCGGUGUAGGGUGAGCUCGCGUCUGAUUAGCUAGUUGGUGAGGUAACGGCCCACCAAGGCGACGAUCAGUAGCCGGACUGAGAGGUUGACCGGCCACAUUGGGACUGAGAUACGGCCCAGACUCCUACGGGAGGCAGCAGUGGGGAAUAUUGGGCAAUGGGCGCAAGCCUGACCCAGCAACGCCGCGUGAAGGAAGAAGGCUUUCGGGUUGUAAACUUCUUUUGUCGAGGAAGAGCAGAAGACUGUACUCGGCGAAUAAGCCACGGCUAACUACGUGCCAGCAGCCGCGGUAAUACGUAGGUGGCAAGCGUUGUCCGGAUUUACUGGGUGUAAAGGGCGUGUAGCCGGGUCGGUAAGUCAGAUGUGAAAUCCACGGGCUCAACUCGUGAACUGCAUUUGAAACUGCUGAUCUUGAGUAUCGGAGAGGCAAUCGGAAUUCCUAGUGUAGCGGUGAAAUGCGUAGAUAUUAGGAGGAACACCAGUGGCGAAGGCGGAUUGCUGGACGACAACUGACGGUGAGGCGCGAAAGCGUGGGGAGCAAACAGGAUUAGAUACCCUGGUAGUCCACGCAGUAAACGAUGAUGGCUAACUGUCGGGCCUUUAUGGGUUCGGCGGCCAAGCGAAAAGCGAUAAGCCAUCCACCUGGGGAGUACGACCGCAAGGUUGAAACUCAAAGGAAUUGACGGGGGCCCGCACAAGCGGAGGAACAUGUGGUUUAAUUCGAUGAUACGCGAGGAACCUUACCCAGGCUCGAACGGCAUCUGAAUUGUCCAGAGAUGGACAAGUCUUCGGACAGAUGUCGAGGUGCUGCAUGGUUGUCGUCAGCUCGUGCCGUGAGGUGUCGGCUUAAGUGCCAUAACGAGCGCAACCCUUGCCGUCAGUUGCCAUCAGGUGAAGCUGGGGACUCUGGCGGGACUGCCACCGCAAGGUGUGAGGAAGGGGGGGAUGACGUCAAAUCAGCACGGCCCUUACGUCUGGGGCGACACACGUGUUACAAUGGCGGCUACAGAGGGAAGCCACCCCGCGAGGGGGCGCGGAUCUGAAAAGGCCGUCUCAGUUCGGACUGGAGUCUGCAACCCGACUCCACGAAGCUGGAUUCGCUAGUAAUCGCGCAUCAGCCAUGGCGCGGUGAAUACAAUCCCGGGCCUUGCACACACCGCCCGUCA